UACGAAGGGGGCUAGCGUUGCUCGGAAUUACUGGGCGUAAAGGGAGCGUAGGCGGAUAGUUCAGUCAGAGGUGAAAGCCCAGGGCUCAACCUUGGAACUGCCUUUGAUACUGGCUAUCUUGAGUUUGGGAGAGGUGUGUGGAACUCCUAGUGUAGAGGUGAAAUUCGUAGAUAUUAGGAAGAACACCAGUGGCGAAGGCGGCUCACUGGCCCGGUACUGACGCUCAUGUGCGAAAGCGUGGGGAGCAAACAGG
RNAcentral lists this ribosomal RNA (253 nucleotides) under uncultured bacterium. RNAcentral describes it as "partial 16S ribosomal RNA". It matches the Rfam family "Bacterial small subunit ribosomal RNA", at positions 524 to 776 of the family's 1533-position model. The record is from RNAcentral.